Encephalitozoon hellem ATCC 50504 is the source of this 185-nucleotide non-coding RNA. NCBI's taxonomy places the organism in Eukaryota, Fungi, Microsporidia, Unikaryonidae. The record is from RefSeq and is a predicted model, not a curated record.
CCCCCCUUAAAGUCUCAUGAUGACCAUUACAGAUAAAAGGAAGUCCAUUCCAGCAUCUAACGAUGUCUAACCUUGAUUUUCCACCUAUUCGAUGUACCUUGAAUGGAAAACCUUCCGAUGCACUGCGCUCUUUGAGUUAAAGGUUUGCCCUUGUUGCAUGUGCAUAUUCUGUAAUCUGAAGACUU